UGUAUCAUUUCCAUUCUUGAGCAGCCAAACACCCUUUCCCCUCCCUCUCGGCUUUGGCGUGAAUGAACAACCGGCAACCCUUCUCGUCCUCUUCUUCCAUCGUCGAUCCCCACCCUUCGCGUUUCUCUUCUCGACCAACUUGCAUCUCCCUUGAAGAAGAGCAACAGCGUCGCCCCUCUCCUUCGCUUUCAGCAGCCAACGUCGACAAGGAGAUCAACGAGAGAACGUGCAGCAACAUCCGGCGAGUAGCCUCUUCCCUCCGGCGAUCUAAGCAUCCUCCGGCGGCGUCUCCUCUGAUCUCCGGCAUCCCAGCUAGCAAGGACGGUACGAGUUCCUCGGCGUUCUCUCCUCUCUCGGCGAAACAGAGCAGGUUCAUGGUGGUGGCAGUUCGGAAGCUGUGACAGUGGAGGUUUGUGGUGGCGGCGGUAUCGACGGAGCUCGGUGGUGGCGUCUCUCCUCCGUUCCCGGCGUUCUCUGCUCUCCGGCGGUGUGUUGUUUGAGGUGUUCCCCGCGGGCAGAAGAAGGGUGGAGGUUUUCACCGUGUUCUACCCGCUGCCUCCCAGUGAGGAAGACGAAGAAGAUGUUGAUAGUUGGUUCCCGUUUGGCAUAUGAGUUGAGCCUAGCAUAUGUUGGCGUUGUUUUGGUUGGAUAAGCGAUUGAGGUGAUGUCUAGGCGAGUGCGCAGUCUAAUGCCUGUUAGCAUAGCUAUUCCCGUUGUUUUUAUGGCAUGUGUGCCGCUUUAGUUAUAGACUUUGAUGACUUUUGGAUAGUUGU
Molecule: long non-coding RNA, 773 nt
Organism: Ipomoea nil (Japanese morning glory)
Lineage: Eukaryota; Viridiplantae; Streptophyta; Magnoliopsida; Solanales; Convolvulaceae
Exons: 3
Source: RefSeq, a predicted model, not a curated record